Molecule: long non-coding RNA, 3747 nt
Organism: Drosophila pseudoobscura
Lineage: Eukaryota; Metazoa; Arthropoda; Insecta; Diptera; Drosophilidae
Exons: 3
Source: RefSeq, a predicted model, not a curated record
UCGAUCCAUGAAACUAAAUUGUGGAAGUUCAGUUUGGUGGUACGGCGAGAUAAAAGAAAAGAAAAGAAUAAAAGGUCAUACACGUGUCUGAAAAAAAAAGAAAAAUUGAAAUCAAUAAAUCGUCGAAAGUAGGGUGCACAUGCCAAGCUGCCCCAAAACUUAAGAUCAGUGUGCCGAAAAGCCGAAAAAUCAGUGAUUCUCCAAAGAUAAACCCGGUUUCAAGCCCCAAAAGGGGUCUGAGCUUUGCCAGUCGAUCUCGGCUUUUCUCCAGUGUAAUUUAAUAUUGAAGAAAGUUAUCCAACGGAGGUCAAACUUCUGCCGCACAACGGAAAUUUGCGAUCAACCUUAUUUUUGACCUUGGCAGAUGACAUACAGUUGCCUCUGAAAUUCUAUGUCGUGGCCUGGAUAGGCGCAGACAUAUCCAUAUCGGAUGUCUUCAAGGAAAAUGAUUGACACACACACACACACACACACACUGAAUUCAACCGACACAUCAAUGCAUGCAGGCCUGUUGCAGCGAUGGAAAACCAAACGUAAACUACCACUAAAAGUAAGAAAAACACCGCUUUGCUUAUAAUUUGAUUUGUUCUUCUAAACUUUUCUCCUCUUUAUAUAUAAAAAAAACCCCUAGAAUUAAGUUGCUGUAACUGUAGAUAAAUAAGAUGUCAUGAAGAUUUGAGGCGAUGCUGAGGAUGGUUGUUAGUUGGAGUGGAGUUAAAAUAUGAAAAUACACUGAAGAUUGAUCACAUUAAAUUGGAGUAGAAUAACUAUACAGGGGUAUUGGGAAGGGGGAACAUAUAGACGUUUAAGGGCUAACACAAGAAAUAGGCGAGCAGAGUUAACAUGGUAGGGUGGGUAAACGCGAAGAUUACAAGACCUAACUCUGUGCGGCGAUGCAUAUGGCAGUAUUGAUUUGAUUUGUAUAACACCUAACGGCCAGGUUAGCACCCCAAUCUCUUGUAUGUGUUAGCUGGAACAACGGAAAGAUCCCCCCCAUCCGACGAGCCCUAGCCGAAAGAUCCCACACAGUGCUAACCAUAAAAUCUAUGCAAGUUGUCUAGUUUGUGGAAUGCGUCUCGAAAGCUACCACACCAGAACACCGGGACACAUUACACCAAAGCUUCCAGCAGGAAUCGUCGGUGAUCUUGGUAUGUUCCGCACAACGAAAGAAGCGUUCAUCUUUGAUUUUUAGAUCAGGCAAUCGGCAACUGUUCAACCUAAUCUUCUCUUUAAUUGACUGAUAUUCUGGUGAUUUGAACUCAGGAGAAUCAGGGUCGACCAACAUGCUAUCAAUCGCCAAGAAGGACAAGUCUUCUGAGUGGGUACGGGACAAGGCAUCGGGGACUAUGUUAUCACUCUCUUUUCGGUGUAAGAUUUUGAACUCAAAUCCCUGCAACUUCAAGGCCCAGCGAGCCAAUCGGGAGCUAAGAUCAGCCUGCGAUAUUAGCCACUUUAAGUAGACAUGAUCUGUAAUGAUAGAGAAUUCUUGGCCCUCAACGUAUGCCCUGAACUUUUUUAGGGCUAAAACCGCAGCGUAACACUCUUUUUCAGUUACAGUGUAUUGCUUCUGGCAUUUGUUAAGCUCCACCUCCAGAUGGUGCUCAAAAUUAUCGGAUAUAACUAAGAGGUCGUUAAGAUAUAUGAAUAUUUCAUUCCGUAGAUGGGCUCACGAGAUUUUUGAUCGAGAGGAAUUUGCCAAAACGCGUCCUGUAGAUCGAUGCUUGUGAUGAACUCUGCUUUCGGUAGUCUACUCAGGAUUCCGUCUAUAAGGGGCAUGGGAUAUGCAUCCUUUACCGUGACCGAGUUUUCUUUCCUACAAUCGAUACACAAUCUAACCUUGCCAGGCUUUUUAACCAGCACUACGGGCGAAGACCACGAACUAACGGAUUCUUGUAUAACCCCAAGCUUAAUCAUUCGGUCUAAUUCCUCGUACAUUAGCUUCUCCGUUGCCGGUGACACCGCAUAGUGGCGUUGUUUAAUGGGCUUUGCGUCAACUACCUCUAUCGCGUGAGUGAUUACAGAGGUCUUUCCUAGACCUUGCUUUGAGUAAGAUGGGAAGAGAGUUAUUACCUCCUGUAGUAAUACUUGCUGUGAAGGCAGAAGCGCCGUCAUUGUGGGGUCUUCUAAGGUUUCAAUACGUAAAUUUUGUGUCAUCAAGUGCAACGGUAAAAGGUCAACAGCCGUCCAAAAAUUCAUUCCUAAAUAGUGAUAACCCGUCAAGGAAGGUACAAUACAAAAACAAAGUUCCGCUACGGACUGCAUGAAUAUUUCUCGCGUUCGGACGAGGUGACGUAAGGAUUUCACAGUCGCAGCCGACUCAUGCAAUAUUUCAUGCUAUAUCAGCCAAAAGGUUUUGCACUGCUCGCAGUGUGUCAACCAAGGCUGCCUCAGACAUGGGGUCAGACAGUUUAUCUGCCAAUGCGGCAAUUACGCCAUAAAAAUUAUAUUCCUAUCUGUUCUAUCGUCUUUAAAUUGGCCACGCAAGGCUAGGCAUAGAUCUUCCAAACGGACUUCAGGGACACUGUCAUGAUACCGCCAAAACCACUCGCUGGCGCUUCCAUCAAAGAGGUUACUAGCGUAUCGAGCUGUCAUUUCAAAGUUACCGUCCAAAGUUUGCUUUGUAAGUGCUUCAAUACGGUAAAUGAAGUCCUCAAUCGACAUACCAGCCUUACCCGUAAACCGCAGUUUCCAAUUAGACAUUAUCUGGCUAACACGAUCUGCCCGAAGGGAUGAAGCGGAGGAACCUGUGGAAACUCCUGAGCCAACUUUACGGGUUUGCCCCAAAUUCGACGGUGACGUACUAUUUCCCGAUUGAUUAAUCCCCGGCACUGGUACCUGUUCACUAGGGACAGCCGAAAAAGUUUCUCGAUCGUUUGUUGUUCCAGUUCUGCUACAGGUUGCAUCCGAGCUGCAUUUAUGUUCGGGGAGGGUACAGAAGCUGUACUUUGAAGUCCAUCGGAAAUGGCUCGAACUAGCCGGUUAGUUUGAUCAGCCAUGCUGGUCGCCAGAAUUCGGGUUUGCUCUACCAUAGCUACUCUAAUCGCGUCAACUACUGACUGCUGUAUAGUUUCCGCCAUAGUGGCCUGACUCUGUUGAGGGUCGACGGAGAUUGGAGACCUGUUGGCAUUCUCUGAGUUAGCCAUCUCAAGAGGGCUUAACGCUUCAACUCUUUUGCUUUGACUUCUAGUCUGAAGAGACUAAGUAACAGAUGGCAUUCGUGCUUUAGACGUAGACGGACCAAUGGGACUAAGAUUCUCAGCUGAGGCCGAUGUGAUGUUCAGGUCUUGCUGACAAGUGGGACACGUCCUUUUGUUACCACUUUUAGCGGUGAAGCACACUCUGUGAAAGGUGUGCCCACAACUGGCCGACAAUAGUUGUACCUGGUAAACGAUUACUUCGGAGCAAAUUUGGCAAUGUUUCCCCGUGUCUUCUAAGAGGGCUAAAUUCUCCGUACUACGAGACACCACCAUUUCGGUUUGGGCACCACAAAGUAUUAAUAUAUUAGAUAUAUAUAUAUAGAAAAAUGCAACAAAAAUGAAAAAAAAAUAAUACAAAAAAAGUCAAUAGGUAUAGAUAUCAGGGACCGUAAAUACUCAUUAUUUUUUUUUUUAUAAAAAAAUCUCUUAUUUUUAAUGGACCUAGAAAAACACUAUUUACACCAAAAUCUUUAUUUUUGUACAAUCUCUACAUUGCCGCCAUGACUUGUAAACUUCUGUUUUUUACGAUUUUCUUCACAGAUAAUCAAUA